Non-coding RNA from Chrysemys picta bellii (western painted turtle), 1906 nucleotides. The record is from RefSeq and is a predicted model, not a curated record. Lineage: Eukaryota; Metazoa; Chordata; Testudines; Emydidae.
GCUUGGGAUGGAGGCACUGAGUGGAGACGGGAGAGGCAUGACUAGGGGUAGGCUGGGGGGGAGCUGGAGUUUUCAUGCUAUUGAGGCUUUGCUGCUAUUUUCCCACUUUUGCAACAACAAAAAAAAAAAAAGAAAAAUAAUGCUUCCCAUCCUCUUCAGACCCAUCACUCUAGGUAACUAACAUCUGAGCACGUGGGGGUCCAGAAACCCAGCAGGGAUCCUGUUCUCUGCAGCAAAUCCAGUGCCGCCUUGCCUCGUGCACCCAGAAGAGAGAGUGCUUGGAGCAGAUGAACAGCAGCCACUCAAACUCAGACCAGCAUCGGUAAGAAGAUUCGCAUUAACUAACUGGCAACACUAAAUGAUUUAGAUGUUACAGUGGCCGCUGCAAGCAGGAUAUAUCAGAGUGAACUGACUCCCGGCAGGAGACUCAGGAGGUCAAGGAAUGGUUUACACUCAGAGAUCAUCUGAUCUGAAACAUAUACAAUUCAUUGAAUGCAACCAACAUCAUUCACCCUCCUUCUGAAACAUAGUCAUAACUAGAAUAUUGUCAUUGGUGCCAUUAAACUGCAUGGAGUCUCUCACAAAUUGAUCCUUCUCACUUCUCUUCUUUCCAAGUUAACUUUAAGAAAACUAGGCCAGAGAAGCCUCUUCCCAAUUUAAGGCAAAGACAUCAAGGAAUCCCCCAGUAAAAAACGAAGGAAACCUCUCAAGAUUUAUAAAUAUUCUCCAAGAAGAUGGAUGGCAUGGAAGGUUUAGUGCUCUGAAGUCAAAUAUCAGUGUUUUAAUUAUGGUAGCAAAGGGAUUAGGUUGGAAAGGACAGAUGAAUCACCAUACAUGUUGAUAGUAACAGUAGGUGACAGGUGAACAAAUCACAGGUCUUGAGUUUCUCUACCCUGCCUCUCUCUGGUAACGUCAUCUCCAGUACCAUCUGCUACCUACCAGCUAAACAGACCAACCACAUAAUGAGGUACCAGCUUCCACCCAGCUACCGUGACUAAAUCAGAACAAAAGAAUUCAACGCCUCCUUCAACAAAGGGACACAAGUCUAAGCUGUCUUUGCUAAUUGCUGGGUUUCAGGUUGUCUGUUACAGAUUUUAAGUGAGCUGCAAACUUGCAUCCAUACUUUAUAGCUGUUGGAUAAAGAUAAUGCGAAUAAAAGAUAAAUGGAAACCAAAGGCAAUGAUGCUGUUCUCCUAAAAUGUGAGACAGUUUUCUUCUUGACAGCAAGUGGAGCCCAGCUCUGCAUCUCCCUCAGUCACUGGAGAAAGACUAACAUGCUUCAGAUUCAGUUGCUUUCCAGACGGACUUGAAACGAUUCAAUGAAAUGAUUACUCCAUUCAUCUAUCCCAUUUUAUACUUAUUGUGUAACAAGUGAGACACUGUGGGUCAUUUUAAAGUAAAAGAGAAUAGUGGUAUAAUCCUAUUAAAGACAUCAGACUAUUUAAAAUAGGACAGAUAUUAACAUCACCCUAAACUGUAAAUGAAUGUAUUUGUAAAGGUGUUUUAACUUUCCAGAGUGAAGUACAUUUUAUGUUGCUGUUUCUUUGCUACACCAUCACUAUAUUUAUCCAGCUAGUGCAGCCGGGUGUAUGAGUCAUAGGAAAUUAUAUUUCUUGCUUAUUAAAGUGGUUUGUCUCAGGAAUAUUUCAUAGUGUAUAUUUUUUUCACUCACAUAAAGAUGUUGAGAGAAUAACUGGCAACCUAUUUAAAUGUCCUUUGCUUAAGAGAUGUCUAUUAUAUUUGCUGCGGAUUUUUUAAAUUUUUAUUGCCUUUCUAAACUGUUAAUUAUGUAUCGAAAUGUAUUGCUGUCACCAGUCUAACAUGAACAAAGCAAUAGAGUGAACUGCCUGAGAUAUUUCAGCAUGGUAUUAAUUACAAGCAUAGUAAUAAAUGAAAAUUCUACAAA